Molecule: non-coding RNA, 1398 nt
Organism: Sus scrofa (pig)
Lineage: Eukaryota; Metazoa; Chordata; Mammalia; Artiodactyla; Suidae
Source: RefSeq, a predicted model, not a curated record
GGAAGUGACGGUCGCCAUGGAUGGGGGUAGGCGAGUUUGGGGAAGGCUGCCACCCCCCUCGGUCCUCUGAAGGAGUCCUGGUCCUCCCUCUCCUGGGGCCCACACUCUCCCUGGCGGCACCCCUAGAGGCCUCUCCUCCGCCUUGAGGGCUCUGCUUGACUUCUCAUCCCCGGGAGGAGAGCAAGGCCAUGGGGCUGCCCCUGCUGCUGCCCCUGCUGCUGCCGCUGCUGCUGCUGCUGCCACCGGCAUCUCUGCAGGGUGAUCACUGGGCACAACUCAAAGCACGCUUUGACUAUGGGAUGAACCAGCCAACACAACUCUCAGCCCCUGAGGGUGGCUCCAUCCGCAUCCCCUUCUUCUUCUACUACUCCCAGGACUCAGGCAGCGUUUCCAAUGUGAUAAUAUCCUGGAGAUGGAAACACUUCCAUGGGGAUUUCAUCUACAAAACGACCCCCCGACUCAUCCAUAAUAACUUCAAGAACCGGCUCCUCCUGAACUGGGAAGAGGGUAUGAAGAACGGCUCCCUCCAGAUCUCGAACCUGCGGAGGGAGGACGAGGGUUUGUACUUCUGCCAAGUGGAGAUGAUCACAGAGAAAUACGGUGAACAGGAGUGGCAGUCCAUCCAGGGGACCGAGCUCACGAUCACACACAACCAGACAACCAUCCUGGGCUCCACCACCACUGCUGCCGCCACAGCUGGCCUCGGGACCUCAGAGGACCAAAGGCAUUCCCCGAGUACGGAAGCUGCAGUGGGGAUAGCAGCCAAUGAGCUUAUAAUAGCAAUUGCGGGACUGAUUUUGUGCCUCUGAUGGAAGAAGAGGAAAGAGGAUCCUUCCAGAAUCUGGAGGAGAAAUACGAGAACAUUGGGAACAAAGCCCACCUGACCUGGAGCUUCUUGACUGGUUUUAGAGCAACAGACAGACCCCAAGGAGUGUCAUAAGAGAAGCAGCUCAGACCUGGCCUGAAAUAUUACAGGGAAGUUUGGAGAAGAAUGAUGGCAUCCUCUAUGCCUCCCUCACCCUCCACAACCUGCCCUCACCGGCCGCACCUCCGUGCCCUCCCGCCCACGGGGGCCCCCAGGAAGAGACCCUGUUCUCUGCCCUGAAGACCUAAGGACUGGGACGAGUGAUGACCUCCUUAGGGUCAGCCGUGCACGGGGAUCUCACUUCCCCAUAAUCACAGCCACACACAGACCGCUCCGAAGCCAGCAGGUGCCGAAGGCCACCGAGGACCUGAGCACCUACCUGCUCCAAUUCCUCUUCGACUGCCCAGCCCUUGACCACAUGAAUAAAAGUACCUGUGCGAUUUGCCCGACUGCAUCUAAGGAGAAAGUGGUGUCACCCAUAACUUCUGUCCCUCUGUCCAAAAAGGAACCAUAAUAUACAGCUCACACCCAGA